RNAcentral lists this ribosomal RNA (338 nucleotides) under uncultured Anaerolineaceae bacterium. RNAcentral's name for it is "bacterial SSU rRNA". It matches the Rfam family "Bacterial small subunit ribosomal RNA", at positions 1029 to 1382 of the family's 1533-position model. Lineage: Bacteria; Bacillati; Chloroflexota; Anaerolineae; Anaerolineales; Anaerolineaceae. The record is from RNAcentral.
CCUUCACAGGUGCUGCAUGGCUGUCGUCAGCUCGUGCCGUGAGGUGUCGGGUUAAGUCCGUAACGAGCGCAACCCUUGCCCUUAGUUACAAGUGUCUAGGGGGACUGCCGGCGGGAAGCCGGAGGAAGGUGGGAUGACGUCAAGUCAGCAUGGCCCUUAUAUCCAGGGCUACACACACGCUACAAUGGACGGUACAAAGGGCAGCGAAGCCGCGAGGUGGAGCGAAUCCCAGCAAAGCCGUCCGUAGUACGGAUAGCAGGCUGCAACUCGCCUGCUUGAAGCUGGAGUUGCUAGUAACCGCGCGUCAGCAUAGUGCGGUGAAUACGUUCCCGGGGCUU